Molecule: long non-coding RNA, 25994 nt
Filed under: Gossypium barbadense (sea-island cotton)
Lineage: Eukaryota; Viridiplantae; Streptophyta; Magnoliopsida; Malvales; Malvaceae
Description: long non-coding RNA (GBAR_LNC011001)
Source: RNAcentral
UUCUUUUAAUUGAAUGAACUUAAAAGUAAAUAAGAGUAUAAGAAAAAAAGAAAACCAUAUCUAUUUUAAAACAUUUGUCUGACACUGGCAAUCAUACUAGCUUAACAUACAAGUCUAAUAAUACCUAUAUACUGGAAACUAGGUUAUUGUUUUAUGUAGGAGUAGAAAUAACAGUAAUUUGUUCAUCAGAGAAACUUGUUUUGAGUGCAUAUUGUGUUGUAAACAAACGAUUUUGAUCAGUUUGUGACCAAGCUUUCAUGAGGAAAGAUUUAGUGAGAGAGUAAAUCUAGAAUGUUAUUCAUUGAUUUAUUUUUUUUGAGAUCCAAUUGUAUCUUUAGUUGCAUUUUAUAGUACAACUGACUAGCAAUUCAAUGUUAAUAAAUGGUAUUAGAACUAGACACUAAACUAAUUUGGUGAAGAUCUUACUAUUGAAUUGUUGAGACAUGAAAGGAAGCUUGAUUUUUAGAUCCCUAUCCUCGAUUGCUCCAACUACGCAUUUUAAAAAACACACAUGAUUACAUUUAUUAGUUUCCUCGAUAAGAAGACAUGGAGGACAGUGCUUACUAGUUGAGAUCCACCGGCAAUUGAAGUUGACGGUGUAAGGACAUCCAAGCCAUAGACUACCUAUAUUAUUAAGAUAAGGUAGGCAACUUCAACUCCAAGACGUUAAAUGUCGUCUUUAAUGGAGUAGAGCUCCAGGAAUUAAAGAGACUAUUGUUGUAGGCCAAUUUUGGCCCAAAUACAACCAAAUACUCACCCCAAUUUCAUCAGCCCAACAUCAUCAAACCCAAUCUAAACCAACAGCCCACCUAAACUAACCUACUAAACAUUUUCCAGCAAAGAAAAAACACUAGCCACCUCCCCACUUUCCUCUGACACCAGCCACCAUCACCUGCUCCACCAGUCACCCCCAUACCCUGCAAAAACAGAGCAAACAAGCAAGACGGGAAAAUAUGGCAAAAGUAAUAAAAAAAUUUGUAAAAGAUUACUAUAAAAAGCCAUUCAAAAAUGCUGUAAAAAGGGGGGUUUAUUUUUUUUUAAAAGAAAGAUUGUAACACAGAUAUUGGAAAUAAAAACGGAUACAAAAACAAAAAAAGAGAAGGAAGGUUCAAGAGGUUUAGUUUUGUUCUUCUUUUUUUUUUCCCUUUUUUCUUCUUUUUGUUCUCUGCUUACCUUGUUUUUUUCAUAUUUAUUCAUUGUUUUUUUUUCCUUUUCUUUUUUCAAGAAAACCUUUUUUUAACAAAGAAACAUAAAAAAUUUUAAAGUAGGCGUACCUAGGUUGCGCUCCUUCGCUGUACACGGCGGUCACCGCCGUCGUCGUUGGCGAUAGGGCGGGUCUCUAAGGAACCCAAUCGACAGAAAGAAAAAGGGGGAGGGGAAGAGAGCAUGGAAGUUUUUUUGUUUUUUUAAGAUUGGGGGUUGAAAAUGAAACACAAAAAAAAAUCUUUGUUUUUAAAUAAUGGUGUUGAAACGGCAUUAUUUUGUUUGGUGGGUGGGGUCUGUACACUUUCUCUAAAAGGGAAAUUUAUGCGUUUAGUCCUACUCUCUCGCAACCUCAUUCAAUUAACCCACAUUUUCUAUAUUCUUUUGUUUUUUAAAUUUGGCCCUCAGAUCUUGUUUGGUUUUCGUUUUGAUCCCUAAUUAAUUAUCCAAUAUUUAUACUUUUAUAUCCCGAAUUUUAAUUUGUUUUUAGCCAUGUCCUAAAUCUAUUUAAUUUAUUUAUUAACCUUUUUUUUAAAAUGUUUCAUUUAUAUGUUAUUUCAAAUAUUUUAUAUGUUGUUUAUUUACAUCAUUAUUGUAAAUAUUUUAUAUACAUAUUUUUUUGUACAUUUCCUAAUAUUUUCUUUUAUUGUAGAUAUUAUUAUUAUAUACUCUUAUUAUAUGCAUAUAUAUGAAGUAUCUUUUAUGUACAUAUUAUUUUAUAUUAUUAUUACCAAAUAUAUCAUUUUUUCUUAUUAUUAGUACAUGAUUUGUUUUUAUUUUCUUUUUUUGCAAAUGUCAUUAUUAUUGUUAUAAUAAUUUCUAGUAUUCCAUGUUAAAAUUUUUCAUUAAUGAUAUCAUUGUUUGCGUCGUUUAUCUAUUUUUAAAUUCUCACUUUAGAAAUAUUUUUUUCUUAUGUUUUAAUUAAUUUCAAUAAAUAAAGCAACGCGCCGAUUUAACAUUAAGUCGUAGAUUUCAUCGCUAUGUUGGGUGGAAUUUGUCAGCUCGUGCUAAAGACGGAACACCCUUCUAAAAAACCAAAAAAAAUAAAAACUAAAAUUUUUCGUCUUUUCAAUCGGAUCACGAUUAAAUAUUACAUUGAACUCGCAUUUUUGAAAAUCAAGACAACACGUGUUUAUAAGAUACCAAUUUUGGGCGUCGCGAGGGUGCUAAUACCUUCCCCGCGCGUAACCGACUCUCGAACCUUAUUUUUCUCUGGACUUUUGACGUAGACCUAAACUCGGCCUUCCUUUUGUUUUAAAAAAUAAAUCUAAUAGGUGUCCGAUCACACCUAGGAAAAAGGAUCGAUGGCGACUCCCUCUUUAUUUUAAAAUCAAACUUCAGUUUUCAAGUUUUCAAUAAAUCGCCACAAUUAGCGACCAAAUCUAAACAUUUUUACGUCGCUACAGCUGGCGACUCCGCUGGGGACUUCUAUUUUUGAGAGUCGAGUUGAAUUAAACGCGUGUUGUCAAAAUUUUCAAAUUUCCGUAUUCAAAUUAAUAUUUAAUCAUGAUCCUUAAGUUUUGUUUUCGAAAAAAAUCAUACAUACAUAUCUCCUAAUUUGUUUUAUCUUUUGUUUUUCAGCUUUAAGUUUUACAGUUUUAGUUUUGUAGUUUUAAAAUAAAUGAAAGGUUUGCAAGUUUCUCCCUACGCACCGUGCACUUGCAUUUCGCAUAACAUGAGCUCUCAACCCGGGCCCCGUCCGUUUAAGUGAAAGUAAACGCUACGCCUUCGUGGGUUAACUCGUCCCUCCGCACAGGCUAGUGAAUACUUUCGGGUUACAUACAACUUAUGCUUUCGUGAGUUAACUUGUCCCUCCGCAUAGGCAUAAGUAAAUGUAAUCCCUCGAAUUGAACUCGUGUGAUGGGCUAUGACCGAGGCUUCGUACUAAUCUUAGCAGAUGACAGUACGGACAAUUCGAGUACCUAUCUAGAACCAAAACCGCAUAUAAUGAACCAUACGAGCCACCUAACUAGAGCCAUGCUAAACCUCCAUCCGUUUAGUAGUCACCAAAAUAAGCGCACGGGAGGAACGCCUCUUGCCUUUUGCAUUUUCACUGUCUAUACGAAGGGGAUUGAGUCUGUUUAAUAAACUAGAUUUGGGUAAUUUGAUUCGUUCAAUUUUUCAUAUUUUUUCUGUCUGUAUUUAAUUACUAAUCAAGAUUAUUUGUCUUUGCCGUAUUGUUUUUCAUCAUGCAUUAUAGGCAUCAUAUUAGAAAGGUGUUGACUAAAGAUCGGUUGCCAAAAAAUGGGUUUUUAAUGGAAGAGUCAAUUAUACAAACAACCGAGGAAAAUGCCGUAGUCCGAGAUUGGUCUCUAAAAACUCAGAAAGAAAAAGGGGAUAGUCUAGUGGAGGGAUGUAUUGCCAAUUUGCCCGAGCACGUAACUGUAAAUGUUCGCCAGAAUAACCUUGAAGAUUUGGUUCGGGUUUGGAAUCAGUGGGACUCGGAUACUAGAGGUAUCUUCGCCGAGAGAUAUGGAGACAUAGCCAACUUGAUUGCUGUCAGCGUAGACGAACGAUUGAUCCAAGCCAUGGUUAGAUUUUGGGAUCCAGCCUACCACUGUUUUACUUUCAAUCAGGAAGACAUGACCUCGACUAUAGAAGAGUACACUGCUUUGCUCCGUGUCGAUAAUAUACAACCUUAUAAGAUAUAUGUGCAAGAGCCUAAGCCAAUGACCUUCAAGAAAAAGUUAGUAAGAGUGACAGACAUGACUGACGCGUGGCUCGAAAAAUAGAUAAAGAAGAAGAAUGAAACCAUUUGUAUCUCAUGGUCUUCCCUACGAGACUUGGUUCUAAACCAUCCCGACAUGUUGAAAAGGGUAAAUCUGUUCGCUCUGGCCAUUUACGGUUUGAUCAUCUUCCCGAAGGUCCUUGGACACAUAGAAGUUGCGGUGGUAGAUUUCUUCGAAAGAUUAAAACAAGGAAUCAACCCCGUCCCAACUAUCCUGGCCAAAACCUUCAGAUCACUAAGUAGCUGUAGGAAGAAAGGGGAAGGCCGAUUUAUCGGAUGCGCGCAGUUACUUAAUGUUUGGAUUCUGAGUCACUUCUGGAAAGUAGAGCGCGCACCGUUCCAUAUGUUUUCUAAAACAUUCUCCCCGUUAGAAGCUUAUCUCAAGAAAGAAUGGCCGAAGGAGAUCACUGAACAACACUGGGUCUCAGUCUUUUAGAAUCUUCGCGCCGAUGACGUAACUUGGAGAGCCCCGUGGAUACGCCCGUUAGUUCUGCUAUACAAGGUCAGAGAUCAAGAUUGGGUGCCACUACUCGGAUUAUGGGGAGGAGUCGGAUAUGCCCCAUUAUUAGUCCAAAGGCAAUUUUCUUCGCGGCAAUUCAUACCCGCCACUGGCGGAUUGGCACAAUCCGAGUUCGCUUUCGCGGGUGAAGGAUAUAUGAAGAAGGUCUGAGACAAUGCAAAAUCUUAGAAGAAAAUUCAUCUAAUGGAAUUGGCCUUAUAUGCUGAUACCCUAACUCAAGAUUACGACAUAUGGAGGAAGCAACGGAUAAAUAGUCAGCAGAUUUCAUUAACAACUCCACCGUCCAGAAUCCUUUCUCAGAGGAAAUGCCGUCUGAGCUAGAAAUAGCAAGACAAGAAUUUGAACGAGAAAAGGCCAAGAUGUCUCGGGACCUUAAUGGCCUUCAAGAAGAAAACUACCAAUUGAAGAUUGACAUUCAGAUUGAAAGAUCCAAAAUCGAGAAAGUGCAAAAAGAAGUUGAAGUCGUGAGAAAUGACUUAAGAGACCUCCAUCUGGAAAAUAAAAAGUUAAGAGGCACAAUGAAAAAUAGUGGGCUGGGCAAGUCAUCGGCAGAAUGGAAAGAGGAGAUAAGCAACAUUAAAGGAGGGAUGGAAUUUUGGAAAGGAAAAGCAAAGAAAGAGGAAGAAAAGGCUGCACAGGCUAUGAUAGAAUUGAGGAAGAAGAACGCCGAAUAUGAAGUAGUGUCUGCCGAGGUGAUGACUAGUCGAUCUAAACGUCAAGAACUAAAAGAAAGGAUACGAGAGUUAGAAGAUAUGCUGCAAGAUCGUCAACAACAGUUAGAUACUCUCUUGAAGGCUUUGGAAGAAAAAGAUUGUCAGUAUGAUAGAGACAUUCGUGCUUGCGAAGAGGGCCUCCAGGAAAAAAAAGGCAACUUAGCUAUUUGAUCAAUAAAGUUCGUGGGGUAGCCAUGCACGUGGUACAAUUAUCGGAAGAAGCUAAAAAUCUCAGUUACCAAUUCCCACCAAGCCAACGAUCGAGCAUAUCGAAAUUCCUAGAGCGAAUAAAGAAAUAUGGCGAUAUAGCUAGAAAGUUUGUGUAAUAGCUGAAUCAAAAAUGGCAAAAUGUUUUGUAAUGAACUCUUUUGAUGAAUGAAAUGCCUAAAUAGGGGCUAUCUUGAAAUCAACACCAAUUCCUUACAUGUCAUUCAUGACUAAUAUCCAUUUGACAUUCAAGCAUUCAUGCAUUUAUUCAUUCAUUCAUGGCAUAUCCCGUACUCAUUUGCUGAGGUUAAAAUGUACAAUUCGCAGUUGUAAUACUUCAAAUCUGGAACCACGCCACUCGUAUAGAACGCGUCGGCAAACUAGAACAAUGGAGGCUGAAUUCAAUGAAAGGAUUGAAAGAAUGGAAAGAAUCCAAAAGGAAUUACAAGAGCAGUUGGCUAGGUCACAGCAAGAGACGAGAGACUUAAUGGUGAGAUCACAAGAAGAAUCGCUCGAACAGAAGGAUCAAAUGGCCAAGAUGAUGGAGAUGAUGUCAGCUUUAGUUAAAAGAAAUGGACCCAUGCAGAGCCCUGACAUCGAGGAAUCUUGGUCAAGAGUUAAUCACAAUCAAGACUCGCUCUAUCCCCCUGGAUUCACUCCACCACACGCCCGCGCAGCACAAAGAGGAUACACCCAAGGAGAACCCACAGACCCAGAGCAACGGUCGGUGCCACAUACUCAUUUAGGGCAAGGAAUAUUCAUAUCAAAUUCUGGAGCUAAUCCCGCCAAUCCAAUUGUUCCAGAUUUGGACGAUCUAGCGGAAAUAGCCAGGUUGAGAACGGACGAUCAUGAGGCUUAAGAGAAGUAUAUGAGCUUAGAGGAAAGACUCAAAGCAAUAGAGGGUACUGAAGCUUUCUCUGCACUAAGUGCCAAAGAGCUCAAUUUGGUGCCCGAUCUAGUUCUGCCUCUGAAGUUCAAGGUGCUUGAUUUCGAAAAAUACGAUGGCACGAGAUGUCCAAAGGCGUAUCUUGUCAUGUUUUACCGAAAAAUAACUGGUUACGUGAAUGAAGACCAACUACUCAUACAUUGUUUUCAGGACAGUCUAGUAGGAUUGGCUCUUCGGUGGUACAACCAGCUUAGUAGGGAAAGGAUCCGAUCUUGGAAAGACUUGGCAUCAGUAUUCUGUGAGCAAUACAAGCAUGUAUCGGAUAUGGUACCAGACCGAAUGACUUUUCAAAUGAUGGAGAAAAAGCAGUCAGAAACUUUUAGACAGUAUGCGCAGAGAUGGAGGGAUGUCUCAGCCCAAGUGGAACCCCCAUUAACGAAAACGGAGAUAACCGUUCUUUUCAUCAACACUUUGAAAGCACCGUUUUAUGAUAAACUAGUGGGAAGUGCCACGAAAGACUUUGCGGAUAUUGUAAUAUCCGGUGAGCUUAUAGAGAAUACCGUUAAGAGCGGUAGAAUGGAAGGUCAAGAAAGUUCAAGAAGGGCAGCGCCCAUGAAGAAGAAAGAACCAGAAGCCUACAUGGUGGGAAUGGGAAGCCGUUAUGCCCCUAACCUUUAUUCAAACCAACCCCGACCUCAAAAUUAUCCUCCUCUGAAUUUCUAUUAUCCUCCUCAAACCCCUUACUACCGAGCACCACCUCCUUUCUACCCCGUAUAUGCCAUGAACAACCAAAGGCCCGUCACUACAUUCCCACAAAAUACAAUACCCGCCCAAGGUCAACCCAAAAAUGAGCAGAGGCCAGCAAAACCCUAUUCUGAGAAACCACAAUUUACCCCUAUUCCUGUGUCAUAUGGGGAGCUGUACCCAAAAAUUUUGGAGAAGCAAUUAAUAUCCCCGCAUUAUAUGGCACCCUUGAGGCCCCCAUACCCGAAAUGGUACGACCCAAACACUAGUUGUGCAUACUAUGCAGGAAACCAGGGACAUUCGACGGAAAAUUGCCUAGCCUUUAAGAGGAGAGUUCAAGGACUAAUUGAUGCGGAUAUCCUACGAUUUGAUAGUGCCUGUAAUGCAACUGGGAACCCGUUCCCUAACCAUACUGAAGGAAAUGUGAGCACAGUGGGGAAAGAAGAUGAAUGGCAAGUUAGAAGAUGUGUUUCAGAAAUAAAGACGCCUCUGCAGAAAAUCUGGGAGGCACUGGUUAAGAAUAGAUUGCUCUGUCACCUCGACGAUAAUCUCAAAAAAGAAUGUCAGGUUUUUUGUGAUUUUCAUGGAAUUGUAGGGCACGGCAUUCAAUCAUGUGAGGAAUUUAAAAGGUUAUUGCAAGACCGGAUAGAUAAUAAGGAGAUUGUGUUCAUUAAUCAAGGAGAGGCCAAUGAGAAAGAAGUAUGUGCCUCUGACAAUCAAUCGUCAAGUUGUCCGUAUAGCGCCGAUCGACCAUUCGUAAUUUAUUACGAUGCAAGGAAGGAACCGGUGAAACCAAAAAUGAUGAUUGAAGUACCGUCUCAUUUCCCUUACAAGGACAAUAAAUCAGUACCGUGGAAAUAACGUUAAUAUCGUCACACCUGAAGAUGAAAAACCCAAUGCCAUGACUGGAGGCGUCGGGGAAGUAGGUCAUUUCACUUGUAGUGGAAGAUGUUAUUCGAAGGAGGUGAAGAAGAACAGUGACUUGAAACAGAAAGGAAAAGCACCGAUGCACAUGACCAAAGAAAAGCAUGAAACUGUGCCUGAACAAGAAGCUAAAAAGCCUAUGGACGAGGAGGAAGCACAGGAAUUUUUAAAAUUUAUCAAGCACAGUGAGUACAACGUGGUAGAACAAUUAAGUAAGCAGCCAGCACGAAUCUCGGUAUUAUCUCUGCUGUUGAAUUCAGAACCAUACCGGAACGCUCUGCUGAAAAUGUUAAAUCAAGCUUAUGUGGCAAACAAUGUAUCCGUUGAAAAAUGGAUAGAUGGAUGAACAACUUGAAUGCGGAUAAUUUCAUUUCCUUUAGUGACGAUGAAAUAUCGCCCAAUGGUAGAGGCUCAGUGAAAGCAUUGCAUAUCACAACCCGUUGUAAGGGCUAUAUAAUAUCGAACGUGCUCAUCGAUAAUGGAUCGGCACUCAAUGUCAUGCCUUUGGCCACACUUUCCAAGAUUCCGAUGGAUUUGUCCUAUCUAAGGCCCUGCCAUUCUACAGUAAGGGCAUUCAAUGGAACAAGACGAGAAGUUAUGGGAAAACUCGAGAUCCCUCUAGAAGUGGGUCCCUACAUAUACAAUAUUGAGUUUCAAGUCAUGGACAUUACACCAUCAUACAAUUGUCUCUUGGGAAGACCUUGGAUCCAUUCUGCUGGAGCAGUACCAUCAUCCCUCCAUCAAAAGGUGAAAUUUAUCAUGGAUGGUUGUUUGGUCACUGUCUAGGGAGAAGAAGACAUUGUCGCAUCUAUCUCUGCUGAUGCACCCUACCUCGAAGUAAGCAAAGACGCAGUAGAAUGUUCCUUCCGAUCCAUUGAAUUCGUCAAUGCCACAUUCGUCGCUGAGGGAAAUAGAAUUCCCGCGCCAAAACUAUCGAGAAAUACCAAGAUGGGUGUCAAAUUGACUGUAGCAAAGGGAGCCCGAGCAAGGAAAGGUUUGGGAAGGUACCUGCAAGGAAUAGUCAGGGCUCUAAAGCAAGUACACCACAAGGCCCGAUACGAUUUAGGGUUCCAGUCGGACAUGCGUCAAAGAAGAAAGCAGUGGAAGUAAGAUCAGGAAAGAAGGAUCGCAAGAACACUAGGCCGAGAACCAGAAUGAGAGCCCAUGGAAUUCCCUCCUUUGUCAAGAAUAUUUACGUCUACAGGAAUGAUAUACCCAGGGCAGUAUAGUGCACAAAGCACAAUGUUAAUGAUCGAAGAGGGUUUUCAGAAUAUCAGUAUAAAUGUCAUUGACAAAGGAGCUGACGCGAGUAAAGACAUCUCAAAGAUACGCCCUUGUCCCCCGGGUUUCAUGUUAAACAAUUGGACUGCCCAGGAUCUUCUUGUAGUUUAUAAGUCUUCAGAGUAAUGCUCAAACGUUAACAUUCUGUUAUGUCCUCAGAUAUAAUAGAAUUCUUUUUGUAAGAGCUUGUAUUCGCUCUUUAUCAUUUAAAUGAAUAUCAAUGAAGAUGCAUUUUGUCACGAUUUUUUCGCAUUAUCACUAAUUCCAUAAUCAUUUUGUAGCCUAUCUUUACAAUUGCCUCACGUCAUACCAUAACAUUCAGUUUGUUGAUUUCAAUACUUAGAUGCCCCUCUAUAGUUUCCUUUUCCAUUCAACUUUCAGGUGCUCAGAUAUCAACAGCAUGAAUAAACCCGUUACGAGUUCUGAAAUCGAUUUUGAGAAGGCUAUUUGUUUAGGAGAAUUUGAAGUCGAAAAAAAUGCUGAAGACUAUGUCUCGUCUCCUGACUUGCUAAGAAUGGUGGAACAAGAGGAUAAAUAGAUUUUGCCUCAUCAAGAAUCUGUUGAAACAAUAAAUCUGGGAACUGAAGAAAGGAAGCAAGAAGUGAAGAUUGGGACUUCUAUUUCAGGGGGCAGCAGGCAUAAUUUGAUUGCUUUGCUCCGCGAGUACAAAGAUGUAUUCUCAUGGUCAUAUCAGGACAUGCCAGGAUUGGAAGAAGAUGUAGCGGUCUAUAAGCUCCCAUUGAAGCCAGAAUGUAAGCCUAUUCAACAAAAGCUAAGACGGAUAAGACUUGAGAUGUUGUUGAAGAUAAAAGGGGAAGUCAAGAAGCAAUUUGAUGUUGGUUUCCUACAAGCCUCCAAAUAUCCAGAAUGGGCGGCUAACAUAGUCCUGGUACCAAAGAAAGACGACAAAGUGCGAAUGUGCGUGGAUUAUCGUGACCUGAAUCGAGCAAGUCCUAAAUAUAAUUUUCCCUUACCACACAUUGAUACGUUGGUGGAUAACACAGCAAAACAUUCAUUGUUUUCUUUCAUGGACGGAUUCUCGGGGUAUAAUCAGAUCAAGAUGGCCCCUGAGGAUAUGGAGAAAACUACCUUCGUAACAAUGUGGGGAACAUUCUGCUACAAGGUGAUGCCAUUUGGGUUAAAGAAUGCUGGGGCAACAUAUCAGAGGGCUAUGGUGACGUUAUUCCAUGACAUGAUGCAUAAAGAAAUAGAGGUCUACGUCGACGAUAUGAUUGCUAAAUCCCGAGGGGAAGAAGAGCAUGUAGUGAACCUGAAGAAAUUGUUUGACAGACUGAGAAAAUUCCAACUAAAGCUCAAUCCGGCCAAAUGUAUGUUUGGGGCUACCUCUGGAAAAUUGCUGGGCUUCAUUGUCAGUGAAAGAGGUAUCGAGGUUGAUCCAGAUAAAAUAAAAGCUAUUCAAGAGUUACCACCUCCGCGCACGCCAAAGGAAGUCAGAGGAUUUUUAGGGAGGUUAAACUACAUCGCCCGAUUUAUCGCUCAACUUACCAACCAAUGCGACCCAAUCUUUCGACUCCUUCGAAAACAUAAUCUCGGAGAAUGGAACGAGGAGUGCCAAGUGGCUUUUGACAAGAUAAAACAGUAUUUGUCUAAUCCUCCAGUGCUAGUACCGCCAAUGCCGGGAAGACCAUUGAUAUUGUAUUUGACUGUGUUCGAGAAUUCAAUGGGUUGCGUACUGGGGCAACACAACGAGUCAGGAAAGAAAGAAAAGGCGAUCUACUACUUCAGCAAAAAGUUUACUGAAUAUGAGGCAAAGUAUUCGUCCAUAGAUUACUGCAACGCUCUGGUUUGGGUAGCUCGGAGACUCAGACAAUAUAUGUUGUAUCAUACGACAUGGCUAAUUUCAAAGUUGGACCCAAUAAGGUACAUGAUGGAAUCACCUGCACUCUCAGGAAGAAUGGCACGAUGGCAGAUCUUACUAUCAGAAUAUGACAUCAUCUAUGUGAGCCAAAAGUCGAUAAAAGGGAGUGCAAUAGCUGACUUCUUAGCAACUCGAACAACGAAGGAAUAUGAGCCAUUGAAAUUUGAUUUCUCAGAUGAAGACUUAAUAUGCAUUACAGAAAAAGAAUGUGAGUCAUCAAAAGAAAAGUCAUGGGGAUGAGCUUUGACGGUGCAUCGAAUGCAUUGGGGCAUGGGAUUGGAGCAGUCUUAGUAUCACAAGAAGGGAACCAUUAUCCGUUCACUGCCAGGCUGAAUUUCUUCUGUACCAAUAACAUAGCAGAAUAUGAAGCUUGUAUCAUGGGACUUCGUGCAGCAAUUGAACAAAACAUCCAAACUUUAGAGGUAUACGGAGACUCAGCAUUAGUGAUUUAUCAGAUCCGUGGAGAUUGGGAAGUGAGGGAUUCAAAAUUAGUCAAAUACAGUGAUCUCGUGGCAGGGUUGAUUAAAGAAUUCAAAGAAAUAACUUUUAAUUACUUUCCACGAGAAGAAAACCAAUUAGCUGAUGCCCUGGCCACUUUGGCUUCAAUGUUUAAAGCAAACAGAGAAACAGAAAUAAUGCCUCUUCAAAUGAGUAUAUAUGAAGCCCCUACAUAUUGUUUCAGCAUUGAGAAAGAGCCAGAUGGGCAGCCAUGGUUCCAUGAUAUCUUAGAAUACAUCAAGAAUCAAAGGUAUCCCGAGCAAGCAAAUAUGAACGACAGAAGAACAAUCAGAAGAAUGGCAGCGGAUGGGGACAUCCUAUACAAAAGAGGAAAAGAUCAGGUGCUCUUGAGAUGCGUGGAUACAGUUGAAGCCAGAAAAAUACUUAAAGAUGUCCAUGAAGGAAUUUGCGGGACACAUGCCAAUGGUUUCACUAUGGCCAGGAAGAUUAUAAGACUCGAAUAUUACUGGCUGUCGAUAGAAAGCGACUGCAUUAAUUUCGCACGAAAAUGCCACAAAUGUCAAAUUUAUAGUGAUAAAAUUCAUGUAGCCCCUUUGCCCCUUCACGUCAUGACUUCUCCGUGGCCUUUUUCUAUGUGGGGCAUGGACGUUAUAGGGCCUAUUUCCCCAAAAGCUUCCAAUGGACACCGGUUCAUUUUUAUGGUCAUUGAUUACUUCACAAAAUGGAUAGAAGCUACAUCGCUUGCCAAUGUGACGAAGACUGCGGUUUGCAGGUUUUUGAAAAAGGAAAUCAUUUGUAAAUAUGGUUUUCCUAAAAGAAUCAUUUCAGAUAACGCCUUAAAUUUGAACAACAAGAUGAUGAAAGAAGUGUGUGAGCAAUUCCAAAUAAAGCAUCAUAACUCCUCGCCCUAUCGCACAAAGAUGAAUGGAGCGGCCAACAAGAAUAUUAAGAAGAUUAUUGGGAAAAUGAUUGAGACAUAUAAAGACUAGCACGAGAAGCUACCAUUUGCUUUGUAUGCAUAUCGCACAUCUGUACGGACAUCUACGGGGGCAACUCCUUUCUCUCUGGUCUAUGCAUUGGAAGCUGUGCUACCUAUCGAAGUUGAGAUCCCCUCUCUACGAGUCUUAAUGGAGUCGAAAUUAGAGGAAGUAGAAUGGGUUCGAGCUCGAUAUGACCAGUUAAACCUCAUCGAAGAAAAACGUCUAAAGGCAAUUUGUCAUGGAAAAAUGUACCAGAAGAGAAUGACCGCGGCUCAUGACAAGAAAAUACGGCCAAGAGAAUUCCAAGAAGGAGAACUCGUGCUGAGAAAGAUUCUCCCAAUACAAAGAGACCUGCGAGGAAAAUGGGCACCGAAUUGGGAAGGACCAUACGUCGUAAAGAAGGCAUUCUCGGGUGGAGCUUUGAUUCUCACCGAGAUGGAUGGGAAGGAGUUACCGAGUCCAGUGAACUCAGAUGCUGUAAAGAAAUAUUAUGCUUGAAAAAGGAAACCAAGAUAAAAACCCGAAAAGGGCGUCUUAAAAAAAAAGAGAGAGAAAAAAGGGAUCAAGGUGAAAACCCGAAAAGGGCGUCUUGAUUAAACACAAAAGAUUAGGAUGAAAACUCAAAAGGGCAUUCUAAUGAAGCAAACCCGGGCUUAAAGAACAAGGCGUUUUGAACGGUGGGUCAAAUAGUGAGACUACAGUAUUUGAAGCAUUUCUGAAAGCUCGAAAUCUUCUACGCAAGAAGCCAUGCUCGAAAAGAUUCUUGAUUGAGAAACGUGGAAAAUUUCAUGCAUUAAAUAUCUAGAGCAUUUGUAUUCGUUGAAUGCAAUCCCUUUUCUCUUUAUGACACUUUUUUACUAUUAUUGGUUAACUUUCUUUGUUUACUACAUUUGAAAUGAAUAAAUACGAGGUAUCCUUUUGUCCCUACCUGACCAUUUUUUUCAUGCAUCUCAUUAUGUGGUCCGUUUACAUGAUAAAUAGUGAAAUGACAUACUCUAAACAAAAGAAAUAUUAAGCAUUACCCGGGUAAGAAUUUGAUAAGUACAAGAGCCUCAACGCAAGGACAAAAACUCAACCAGGGGCAAAAGAGCGAUAUCUGGGAAAUAUAGAUUAUUCGUGAAGCUUGAGGACAGGUACAGAACCUGAAGAGAAAGUCAAGAGUUGAAACAAUGAACACAUAUCAUCAAAAAUUGUGACGAAAAAGGGAUAUAUGACAGACAUGCCUAAAGCUCAUAUCAUAAUCAUGUAGGCAUAAAUGCAUUUAAGACAAACAUGUGCAUAUCAUGAUGACAUCAUGCAUGACAUAUACAGGUACUCCAGUAGAGUAAAAGGAUGUGAUGAUAGCUGAAAAGACACAUGAAUUCCACCAGAUGACAUGUUUUGGUAUUCUGAUGUUUUAUUUCUGUUUUUCAAAAAUCAACUCAUAUUGCGAGAGGUGAGUUGAGCCUCAGGACAUGCUGAGGUAAUUUCAAUUUCUGUUUUCUUCAAUUUAUGUUUUUCAAAAAUCAGCUCAUAUUACGAGAGGUGAGUUGAGCCUCAGGGCACACUGAGGUAUUUUCAAUUUCUGCUUUUCAAUUUCUGCUUUUCAAAAAAAUCAACUCAUAUUGCGAGAGGUGAGUUGAGCCUCAGGACACACUGAGGUAAUUUCAAUUUAUGUUUGUCAAAAAAAAAUCAACUCAUAUUGCGAGAAGUGAGUUGAGCCUCAGGGCACACUGAGGUAUUUUCGAUUUCUGCUUUCCAAUUUCUGCUCUUCAAAAAAAUCAACUCAUAUUGUGAGAGGUGAGUUGAGCCUCAGGACACGCUGAGGUAAUUUCAAUUUCUGUUUGUCAAAAAUCAACUCAUAUCGCGAGAGGUGAGUUGAGCCUCGGCUCACAUGCUGAGGUCUUUUCAAUUUCUAUUUUUCAAUUUCUGUUCGUCAAAAUCAACUCAUAUUGCGAGAGGUGAGUUGAGCCUCGAGGCACGCUGAGGUAUUUUCAAUUAAUGUUUUUUCAAUUUAUGCUUUUCAAAAAUCAACUCAUAUUACGAGAGGUGAGUUGAGCCUCGGGUCACAUGCCAAGGUAUUUCCAAAAUCUGUUUGGCAAAUUCUGUUUUCAAAAAUCAACUCAUAUUGCGAGAAGUGAGUUGAGCCUUUGCUCACGUGCUGAGCUAUUUUUCAAUUUCUGUUUUUAAUGUCUAGUUUUUAAAAGUCAAUUCAUAUUGCGAGAAAUGAGUUGAGCUCAGGAUCACACACUGAGUAAAGAACAAAGAUUGGAGCCGAUUGAAGGCACCAGAUUUUGUCUCCCUGAAGUUGUAGUGGAGCUGGUCGAGGAUAUCAGAUCUUGCCUUUCAGAAGUGGCAGAAGAGAAGACCAAAACCUUAUCUCACGGAAGCAAUAGAAGAGAAGAUUGAAGUUGUAGAUCUUAUCCUUCUGAAGUUACAGUGAAGCAGAUGGAAGCCACAAAUCUCAUAUCCUUGAAACUACAUUGAAGUAGAUUGAAGCUACAAGGCCCAUAUCAGAAGAUACAAUGAACUGAACCAAAGCUACAAGAUGCGAUGGACUAGUAAGAGACUGCCCGGAAAAGAAGAGCGCCAAAGAAGUCAACAAUUGGCAAGACCGGGCGAAAUUGGCCUUUCAUUAUGUCUUUGCUCUAUUCCCGUUACACGAUAAUGAGCAAAGAGGGGCAGCUGUUGUAGGCCAAUUUUGGCCCAAAUACAACCAAAUACCCACCCCAAUUUCAUCAGCCCAACAUCAUCAAACCCAAUCUAAACCAACAGCCCACCUAAACUAACCUACUAAACAUUUUCCAGCAAAGAAAAAAACCUUAGCCACCUCCCCACUUUCCUCUGACACCAGCCACCAUCACCUGCUCCACCAGUCACCCCCAUAUCCUGCAAAAACAGAGCAAACAAGCAAGACGGGAAAAUAUGGCAAAAGUAAUAAAAAAACUUGUAAAAGAUUGCUAUAAAAAGCCAUUCAAAAAUGUUGUAAAAAGGGGGGUUUAUUUUUUUUAAAAGAAAGAUUGUAACACAGAUAUUGGAAAUAAAAACGGAUACGAAAACAAAAAAGAGAAUGAAGGUUCAAGAGGUUUAGUUUUGUUCUUUUCUUUUCCUUUUUUCUUCUUUUUGUUCUCUGCUUACCUUGUUUUUUUCAUAUUUAUUCAUUGUUUUUUUUUCCUUUUCUUUUUUCAAGAAAACCUUUUUUUAACAAAGAAACAUAAAAAAUUUUAAAGUAGGCGUACCUAGGUUGCGCUCCUUCACUGUCGUCGUUGGCGGUAGGGCGAGUCUCUAAGGAACCCAAUCGACAGAAAGAAAAAAGGGGGAGGGGAAGAGAGCAUGGAAGUUUUUUUUUGUUUUUUUAAGAUUGGGGGUUGAAAAUGAAACACAAAAAAAAAUCUUUGUUUUUAAAUAAUGGUGUUGAAACGGCACUAUUUUGUUUGGUGGGUGGGGUCUGUGCACUUUCCCUAAAAGGGAAAUUUGUGCAUUUAGUCCUCCUCUCUCGCAACCUCAUUCAAUUAACCCCCAUUUUCUAUUUUCUUUUGUUUUUUUAAAUUUGGCCCUCAGAUCUUGUUUGGUUUUCGUUUUGAUCCCUAAUUAACUAUCCAAUAUUUAUACUUUUAUAUCCCAAAUUUUAAUUUGUUUUUAGCCAUGUCCUAAAUCUAUUUAAUUUAUUUAUUAACCUUUUUUUUAAAAUGUUUCAUUUAUAUGUUAUUUCAAAUAUUUUAUAUGUUGUUUAUUUACAUCAUUAUUGUAAAUAUUUUAUAUAUAUAUUUUUUGUACAUUUCCUAAUAUUUUCUUUUAUUGUAGAUAUUAUUAUUAUUAUUAUGAAGUAUCUUUUAUGUACAUAUUAUUUUAUAUUAUUAUUACCAAAUAUAUCAUUUUUUCUUAUUAUUAGUACAUGAUUUGUUUUUAUUUUCUUUUUUUGCAAAUAUCAUUAUUAUUGUUAUAAUAAUUUCUAGUAUUCCAUGUUAAAAUUUUUCAUUAAUGAUAUCAUUGUUUGCGUCGUUUAUCUAUUUUUAAAUUCUCACUUUAGAAAUAUUUUUUUCUUAUGUUUUAAUUAAUUUCAAUAAAUAAAGCAACGCGCCGGUUUAACAUUAAGUCGUAGAUUUUAUCGCUAUGUUGGGUGGAAUUUGUCGGCUCGUGCUAAAGACGGAACACCCUUCUAAAAAACCAAAAAAAAAUAAAAACUAAAAUUUUUCGUCUUUUCAAUCGGAUCACGACUAAAUAUUACAUUGAACUCGUAUUUUUUAAAAUCAAGACAACACGUGUUUAUAAUAUACCAAUUUUGGGCGUCGCGAGGGUGCUAAUACCUUCCCCGCGCGUAACCGACUCCCGAACCUUAUUUUUCUCUGGACUUUUGACGUAGACCUAAACUCGGCCUUCCUUUUGUUUUAAAAAAUAAAUCUAAUAGGUGUCCGAUCACACCUAGGAAAAAGGAUCGGUGGCGACUCCCUCUUUAUUUUAAAAUCAAACUUCAGUUUUCAAGUUUUCAAUAAAUCGCCACAAUUAGCGAUCAAAUCUAAACAUUUUUACGCCGCUACAGCUAUCCAAGUGCAUCAUUGCUAGAAAGGCUUAAAGAUAGCACAUCAACCAACUUUCACUCUUAAGCAUUCCAAACUUCAGAUGCUAACAAUUAGGUUUGAGACCUUCAGAGAAUGUGAUUAGAUGAAACUUUGUUUAACUUUCAUGCAAAAUUAUGUGAUCUCUAACCACGAAUUGACUCUUGGCGAGGAGUAUUCCAAUACAAAAUUGGUGAAGAAGGUCCUCGGAUUGCUCCCUACAAUUCUCCAUCUAAGUGACAACCAUAGAUGUGGCCAAGGACAACGACACGAUGAGAAUUGAUGAGUCACGCGAAUUUAAUAUUAAUCGGGACCACAUCACCAUUUGAAGGGACUUAAAAUGCUUUCUCAAUUAGCUUAAUUUACUCAUUAUGAUCUAAUAAUUCCCCCUAAUUUCUUCUAACACUCAACUCACUUUUAAUGAUUGACACAUUAUUUAUUCUUCUUUGAGUAAUUCUCUUUCCUCCUAACCACACCACCUUUGAACCAAGAGUUAGCCUCCCAUUCUUAUUUAAUAAAUUUCUAAUUUUGUCAAGGCCAUCAUUAAUGUUUGACACUCCUAAAGCUCUAAGAAAAAGUGUAGCUGCAAGGGGAUAGUCAGAGGCUUUGGCAUCCCCUUGGUUAAAUGAAAGAAUUUAACUUUUUUUAACUCUUAAAUGAAUUUUCUAGCUUCCUAGCCCUAUGCUCCUUCCAAGCCGAAUCAAUCACUAAUACAAUGAAAUUAUGUUGCUUUCUAUAUGAUGCUUCUCUUUCCCACCAUUCCCAUAGCUUUGCACUAGCUUUCAAAUUUUGCAUCUUUGGAGUUACCAUAACAUCCCCUUUUGAUGAGACUAAGUCCUCCGAGGAGCUUUCCAUAUUGAGUAAACCACAUCACCAAUAAGCAACCACAAAUCUUACCUCUCUGAUAAGCUAACACAAGCAUGUUUCCAUGAAUUAAAGAUUUCAUGUUACAAGUAUCUCCAUCAAUAUUAACAAAAAUUUCCCACUCUUUAAACGUCCAAAUACCCCCACACAUGCAUGGGUAAACUAGGUCGUGCUAUGUGUAGGGUUGUAGUACAAAAUGAGGGUGGACAUAGAUUUAGGGCCCCUUUGGAUGGGCGGUGUGUUUAUUUGCCGUUAGUGUAAAAACAAUGGUAAUCGUGAGAUUAGUUACUGUAGUGAUACUGUAGUGUGAGACAAAAAGAAAACUAAACGCACCGCACUAGAGAUAAACGCCCCUCUAAAAGGGCCCUUAGAAGUAUUGAAACACUCUAUGCAUGCAUGGGUAUCCCAUAACAUGAUAACUAAUGCUUGGGUUAACAAUUGAGUCAAAUUCAAAUAAUCUAAUUUCUACUCGAGUAGCUAAUGAGUUUAAGCAAUUUUUUUUUAGUUUAACCUUUCUUUUUUGCUUAAUAUUGAAAAUAUCCUGAUUCGAGAUAAACUAAUUAUAAUUAAGGCAUUGUUUGAUAACUCAUUGAAAAAAUUAAAUCGGCAAAAAAUUAAUAUUUUCAAUGAUUUAAAUUUUUAAGCAUGUUUCAUUGAAAAAGGGUUGAAAAUAAUAACUAGAUAGGGAGCUACUUUUCAUUUAUUAUUUAUCAAACAAUCUAAUUAAAUUUCAUACUUAAUUUUAAGUAUGUAAUAUACUAAAUAUAUUUAAUAACUUAAAUUCAGUACUUAAUUUUUCAAUCUAUCAAACAACACUUUAAAAAACAGAAUCAACCUUUUCCUUUUAUCAAGUAAACAAACUCAAAAUCCCAAUUACUUAUCUCUAUUAGAGCUCAAACUUUUAAAAAUAAAACUCAAUCAAACCCUAAUACUAAUCAUUCAUUGAAUUUCAUAGUCCAAGAUUCUUCAUAAAGUUAUAUCUUAAUAAAAGGAAAGAAAAUCCAACCUGAAUUCUAUAUCCUAAUUAGGACUAAUUCAAAAUCAUGAAUAGGUUUUUUACCAUAAUUGAACCAUCCUUCAUUAUUUAUAUAUUUUUACAUAUUCAUUAAAAUGAAUUAACCAUCUUUUGUCGAAAAACUAUUGGUAGGAAUAAUGUUUUUUUUAAAAAAUAAUUUUUUAGUUUUUUUUUUCAUAAUCAAGUUUACAUUUGUGUUGCAUUUGUAAUUUUAGUCAAGAUUUAGGAAGCAAAAGUUAUGUGUUAAUUUAAUUAUUUUUAAUAGAUGAUUUUCAAUAAAUUUUACUUAUAUCCUCUCUUUUUUUAUAUUUUUUUUAUAUAUUUGCAAGAAACGAGAUGUAUUAAGUCGACCUAUUCGUGACUCAAGAAAACUAUAGAAUAAAAUUGUAAGAUUUUUCUUUUUUUUUUCUUUUUAAAUUUCAAUGAUCAUAUUUAUUCUUUUUGAUACAAUGCCUAGAACUAUCCUACAAUGACAACAGUGCCGAUAUCAAUCGAGUUAAGACUCAAUCGACAAAUCUAACCACUUGUUUGGGACAAAUCCUUGCUGAUUUUUUACUACAAUCUAUUUCACGGUAGAGCCAAUGAGUGUUAGGGGUAGUUGUUUAUAUUAUAUAAGUUUUAAAGUUAUAUUAUUUAUUUAAUUUAAUGGCGUGAAUAAUUGUUUUUCCUUUAAAAUAGUUAAAAACCCUGAAAUGAUUAAUCUCCGUCAAAUGAAAAAUGAAUAAUUUUAAAACGUAAAAAACUUUGAAGGGGCCUACAAUUUUACCAUAUCUUUCGAUCAAAUAACUCGUAACUCAAAACGGGUUUAUAGAAUUGAGAGUGUCAAGACCUCUACCUGCCCCGUUAGCUAUAUCAUUAUUCAUCCAACUGAAACUAUCAUUUAAUAUAAAAAAUAUUAGUAUCAUUUUGUAAUAUUUUAAUAUAUUUAAACAGUAAGAUAAUUUUUUAAAUAUCUAAUUGAACCGAACUUGACCUAACUCGACUCAAUAAUUAUGCAUUAGGAUCAACAUAUGGAAAAAGAGGGUGAAAACGCAGGAGACUCAUCCUCCUCAGAAGAAGAAAGCAAUGGAACUCAACAAGAACUUGAUGAAUCCCAAACAUCAAUGGGUCAAAGGUGCAAAUUAAUUAUAUUCUUAAUUUUAUAUUUUGAUAAAAAUUACUUAAUUAAAUCUCAUUUAUUCUUGUUCAUAUUUUUAAUUGUUUAUGUACCAUCAGAUCUUCAGAGAUAAUUGAAAGCAUCACAACCCAUCCAUCACUCCCAAAUCAGCCUUUGCAACAACCAAUUAUUUCCCCUUCAAUUUACAAUUCAAGUACUAAGGUAUUAUCACAAUACUUUGAUCAUCUAUUACACUAUCAUAUUAUAUGUAAUUUGAUUUCGUUUUAAUUGAUUUAUAAAUUUUUUAAGAGUUGGUAUUAAAGAUGGCAACAUAGUGGGGGAGGUAAUUUUUUGCCCACCUCGAUAUAGUAUUUUGAUACUUUAAAAUUGAUCUGAUUUCGAUUUCAAUAUAAUUUUAUGUGUUUCAAUCCAACUCCAAAAGUAAAUAAAAUACCCAACCCCGACCUGACUAAUAUGUCACGUUUUCAAUUUAUUAUGCAUUUUAUUAAAAUAUAACAGUAAAAUCUAAAAUAUAUUUUUGAGUUUUUCCGUAUAAUGCAAUAGAAAGUAACAUAAAACCCUACAUAAAGUUUUUUUUUUUUUUUGAAACAAAACCCUACAUAAAGUUAUAUGCUAUAUAUAGGAGUAUUUUCUUAUAAGUAUUCCAAAGGGAGGUUGAGUUUUCCUAAACUCAAUUCAACUCGAAAUUGAUUCUCCAAAAAUAAUUUUACCCUAAUAAAGUUCAAAGAUGCUCUAUAAAAGAAUAAUUUUUUAAAAUAUUAAUCUCAAUAGGUUCUUAUCAUAUCUGCUUUUUUUAUACAAUGCUUAGAAUUAUUUAUAGUCCCUCUCCAACCAUUAAAUAAUAAGAUAUUGCGCUUCAACGCACUAGUACCUACGUCCUCCUGCACUAACAAUAACGUCGAUGCCAAUCAAGCUAAAACUUAAUUGGCACAAAAGAAUUCUUCAAUAAAAUGAGUUUGGCAAUUAUACUAAAAAAAAUAUCUAUGUAAUUGACAUGUCUUUACUUUGUUAAUUUAUCAAUUUCUUUAAUAAUAUAAUCUUAAUAAGGUAACUUUUAUAAGCACAUUAGUAAAUUUUAAAAUUUCAAUAUCAAAAGUAAAUUUUUCUUUUUUUUUUCCCUUUCAUUUAUUAACUAAAGUAUGUAUUGCUUAACAUUUUGAUAGGCAAUGGAGUGGUCACAUGAUGAAAGGAUUCAAUCACACAAUCAUGAGCAAAACAAUGUUGUUGAACAAUUACUUCUGUAUGUCUUUUAUUUCUAAAUAUCCCAAUUAUGCUACCCCUUAUUUUAAUUUAUUAUGCUACCCCUUAUUAAACACAUAGGACGAAGUCAGAACUUUCUUUUAAGAGAGGUAACUAAGUUAUAAAUUUGUGGAAAAGUUAAAGUGUAAUUUUAUUAAUGUGUUGAUAAGACAAAGAUUGAUCUGAAUUGAGUCUAGUUUAAGGUAAUUUUUUGAUAAUUUGGAAAGGAUUUUAUUAUUAUUUAAGUAAUUACUUUUUCUAUUUAAAUUUAAUUAUAAAAUAUAUAAAUUUUGAUAUGAAAUUAAUUUUUUAAAUAAUUUAAUAUAAACUAAAAAUAUUAAAAUAGAUCUUGAAGUAUUACUUUUUUUUUAAAUAAUUCCUUAUACCUUCAUAGUACCCAAAUAAUUUUUUUUCCUUUUAUUUGUACCAAAAUUUAUAUUUUCAUAUAAAUUAAAGAUUCAUAAAUAUUGUAAUUUUUUGUUGCAUUGAAUUAAAAUUUUGAAUGUAUUUGAUAAAGAUAUUAAAUAAAAAAUAGUUUUGAUAUAUUUACUUAUCACUUAAUGUUGAAAAUGUUAAGAUGAUUUAGUUUUUUUUUAAAUUAUCUUUUAAAAAAAUUAUCUUUUAAUUUUCGUUAAAAAUGAAAUAUUUAAAUUAUUGUAUAAUUAAAUUUUAUUUUAUAUUAUCUAAAAUAUUAUAAAAUAUUAUGUUAAUUAGAUUAAAAUUAUGAAAUAAAUAAUUUUUAAACAUCUAGAUUUACUAUUAGCUUUAGAGGUUGUUCAGAGAUAGAACCCAAGACUAAUUUUUAAGUAUUCUUCACAUUCAUUUUAUGGCCCAUGUUCGGUAUUUUGUGGCUACCCUUCCAGAUAAUGUUGACUUUAAGGUUCGAAUUAGCAUCUCCUCUUGAGAAUAUAAUGUGUAUUAUCAUUGCAUUCAACAUUAAUUGGUAAAACAUGAUAUUGAUGUCAAUUUAAGGGGCAAGACCAAAAAUGAAAAAAAUUAUUAUACCACCCCUUAAAAUUUGUUCAAAUUAUAAAUAAAUAUAUGGUCAGAUUGCACUUCCCUGCCCCAAAUGAAAAAAAAUUCCAUUGAGUCCUUUAAAAUAUAAUAAAAUUACAUUUUGACCUCACAAAAAUUUAUAUUUCAGUUCUACCCAAAAGUUUCUGGAUUGCACUUGAAUUUGAGUAUACUCAAGCAUAUAAAAUUAAGAGCAACAAUCCACAUAUUUGGAUAUUAUAUAUUUGAUGAAACUUGUAUCCUCAGGUCCAAAUUUAUCAUGAACAAAUUGUACGAUCCAUCGUAUGAAGCCAUGGGAUUGCCAGUGGAUCCUCAUCUAAGAAUGUUUCAAGCAAAAUAUGGUAAUGGUAAGUUCCAUUUACAACAUCAAUUAUAUAUGUUUUAGAUAAUUUUAUGACCAUUCUUUCCAAUUGAAAAUUAAAAUAGAAUGUGUUGAAAUUAAUACAACUGUGGCUUUGUGUUUUUCAUUUGAUUCUUUGUAGCUGCAGAAAACAAGGAUAAGGGUAAUGAGGAACAUCGUUGAUUCGAGACCUUUUAAAAAUUAUAGUUUGUAUUGCUUAUUUAUAGAAACUUUCGAGCUUGUUGCGUGAAAAACUACAUUCAUGAUUUUGCUUUGUUUUAAUUUGUUUGAUGAUGAAUUACAACUUUGGUUUUAAUAAGUUUGAGAAUGAUGGACUAAAAGGAAAGCGGUAUUAAGUUUUUGAAGGGUCUAAUUAUAAUUUUUAAAUAUUUUUAGAGUUAAAUGCGAAUUUUUAAGUGUAUAAUUAAAAUGAAUGUUAGAUAUAAAUACGUAUUUGGUAUAAUUAUGUUUUAAUUUAAUAAGAACACACUUAUGUGUAAUUUGAAUCGAUACAAGAAUAGUUAUUCUUUUAUAAAGCAAGCAACCAUUUAAUAGCAAUAUAGUAUCUCCAAACAAAUAUUGAGUGUAGUAGUAACAUACAUUGUAUUUUAAAAGAGAAUAUAAGUUCGAACAUUGAAGAUGACAUGAUUAAGAGGGACAACCACAUAUCCCCAAAAGAGUUAGUCUUUAUGGACCGUACAACGAACAUGUCAGACAUUGCCAACUUAGAAUUUGGCAAAUUCUUGCACCCUGAGAGUUUCUAGUUUCUCCAAACCAAUACAAAUGAAUAUCUCCAAGCAUUUCAACUUCAUGUGAGAAACAGCAUGCUUUGCAUUCACUAGACUGAAACUAUAAUGCGAAUGGAGGCACUUGAACGACGUGCAGACGAAUAAAAUGGUAUCGAACCGUUCAUCUCUAAUAUCAACAUGUAUCAAGAAAAGCUAUCUUAGAAACUCGAAACGAUUAACAACAUUCAAAGAUGGCGUACGCACGAAGAAUACAUAAUCCAACUGCUUUAAAUAAGGCUCUACUCCCUUCUUUUUAUCGAAGAGGUCGAGUGGGAUAGAGUACUUCUUAGUGAAGUAUGGAUUGAAAAGUUUAUUGCAAAAACAACCAAAGAUCAAUAUGACAACUAAAACAUUCCCUAAUGGAGCAUGAAUGCCAAAUUUCAUGUGGUUUUUGACCUUGGUGAAACCUAAGCACUUCGUUAACCACUUGUAUGUAUCUAUCCUUGUAAGGUUUAUAUACUUUAGAGCUUACAAGAUCUCUGCCAUUAGAAGUGUUUAUGGGCCAAGUUCAAAUCAGACCUAGAUAUGAUAUUAACAUAUUUGAUAUUUGUCUAAAUUCGGUCUAACUCAAAAUAUGAGUCUAAAAUUUUGUGCAAACCCGCCCAUAAUUAUAAAUGGGUAAUUCAAACUCAUCUUAAGUCCACCCAUAUUAUUUUUAAAAAAAAAUUAAUUUAAUAUUUAAUAGUUAUAAUUUUUUAUUUAUUAAAAUUUUAUAUAAAGUCAUCUGAACACUUUUUAAUGUUUAUAUUAUAGUAGUAUAAAUUUUUUAUAUGUUAUAAAUUACAUAAUAUAUAAAAAUAACAUAAUAUAAAACAUUACAAACUUUAAAAAAAAUAGUCAAUUUGGGUCAAGCCGGGUUCGUGCUUCUAAUGUUCAAGCCCGAGCCCGGCUCUUAUUUUAAACGGGCUUAAUUUCUUACCUAAACUCACUUUUGGAGGAUAAUAUUUUUACCCAAACUCUCUUAAAUAUAAAUAUUCAAACUUAAGUAAAUAACUCAACCCAUAAAUAGUUCUAUUUCUUCAAAUCUAAAGUUGAGAUAAGGGAUGGAUGCCCAUAAAUAUCACCAUCUUCAAGGAUGCCAGUGAAAAUUACUUUCUUGAAUGUCAAUAGUGAUAAAAUGAUUAAAAGGAAAUUUUUGACAAUUCACAAAUCUUAUCUUCCAAUCUCAUCCUUUUGCAGCCCUGUUUUUCCAUACAAUUUUUGUUAUGUACUUUGGAGGGAAACAAAACCAUGAAAUAUAAAAUCAUAUAUGAAUAAUAUGAUGAUGAUGAUGAUGAUAAUAUAACUAGGUACCAUCACUAAUUAAGAAAAAGGGCAAACUUGUGUUGGAUCUAACAUAUAAGAACAGUAAAAAAACACAUUAAAAUUAAUUUAAUUGUUUAUGAUACCAAAAGAGGGUAUGUAGAAGAUUGAGGUCAAUUCAUCUUGACUGGGCGGAGAGUUAUAUGGAUUGAGUGGUGGAAGAAGCCUAUGAAAGAAGAAAAGUUUUGGAGAAGAAGGUAGCGCAGUUGGAGUUUGGAUUAGAGGGUCUGUCUACGUGCAAGCUUUAAGGUUGAGAGGGGGUAUUUGUAUCAUUGUAUGGGUUUGACCUCUCUUGCAUUGUGUAAUCCCUUGAUAAGCUUGUUAACCUCUUCCAUGGUUCCUUGUUAUAUCAAUAAUACGAUAUGAGGUGAUAUGGCUAUAAAGUAUAUGGGUGACAUAUGAUAAAAUAAUAAUACGAUAUGAGGUGAUAUGGCUAUAAAAUAUAUGGGUGACAUAUGAUAAAAUUAAAAAUUAUAGAAAAACUAAUAUUCUCGUAAAUCGUAAUACAUCAAAAUAUUCUUAUUUAAAACAAAAUCGAAAUUAAUGUUAAUAUCUAGAAAUUUAUAAAAUUAUAAAAAAAUUUGUUGAAAUAAUAAUAGAAAAUUACAAAAAAAAGCUAUACAAAUUAUACAAAAUUAGAAAAACUAUUAGAAUAUUUAAAAAUAUUAAAUAUAUAUAAUUUUAUAUAUAGUCUCGAUGGUCUAUUACCCUCUAAAUCUAUUUCAACAGCUUAUCUCAAAACACUAUCUAUUCAUUGCGCAUCACUAUUCUUUCUAAGAAACCUCUUUAUAUAUACAUAUAUAAUUCCUAUUACAAUAAUAAUUUUAUCAUUAUAAAUCAAAAUAUAUAUGAAAAUCAUGAAAGAAAAUGACAAAAAGUGAGCUAAAAAUGUUGGGACUAUUGUUUAUCAUGAUAAUACUAUCAACGAUGAUAUUUGAGGUAGUAACGUGUAUGUGAUGAUCGUGGGAGGGAGAACAUUAGUGAACAACAUGAAUAUGUAUAAAGGUGUUCAAGAACUAAGGAGAUUCGUGAUGGACGAGCAAAAUAAAGAUCAACAGAACUAUGGUGGAAGGAUGGCUUCGAUAGAAUUUUCUCAAGCGGUAGAUGCUAAGUGUUGCAGGCCAAUUUUGGCCUACCAUAAAUUAAACCCAUUUACAACAAGAAAAAAACCAAAACCCAUCUAAAUUAACGCACACUUAGGCCACAUUUAACCCUAGCCCUAACUCAAAAAAAAAAUCAAGAAACCCUAGCCACCU